GCCGCCUUGGCGUAGUGGUAGCGCGUCGCACUUGUACUUUCAUAGGACGACUCCUGUGAACUGACAUGCGAAGGUCAUUCGUUCAAAUCGGGUAGGUGGCA
Molecule: non-coding RNA, 101 nt
Organism: Steccherinum ochraceum
Lineage: Eukaryota; Fungi; Basidiomycota; Agaricomycetes; Polyporales; Steccherinaceae
Source: the annotation of a GenBank genome assembly